UACAGAGGUCUCAAGCGUUGUUCGGAUUCAUUGGGCGUAAAGAGCGUGUAGGCGGUUAGGUAGGUCCGUUGUGAAAACUCGAGGCUCAACCUCGAGACGCCGAUGGAAACCAUCUGACUAGAGUCCGGAAGAGGAGAGUGGAAUUCCUGGUGUAGCGGUGAAAUGCGCAGAUAUCAGGAAGAACACCCGUGGCGAAAGCGGCUCUCUGGGACGGUACUGACGCUGAGACGCGAAAGCGUGGGGAGCAAACAGG
Molecule: ribosomal RNA, 253 nt
Filed under: uncultured bacterium
Lineage: Bacteria
Description: partial 16S ribosomal RNA
Rfam family: Bacterial small subunit ribosomal RNA
Source: RNAcentral